RNAcentral lists this transfer RNA (76 nucleotides) under Halovulum marinum. Its description in RNAcentral is "Rhodobacteraceae bacterium 2CG4 tRNA-Thr". It matches the Rfam family "tRNA". From Rfam's summary of the family: Transfer RNA (tRNA) molecules are approximately 80 nucleotides in length. The record is from RNAcentral. Lineage: Bacteria; Pseudomonadati; Pseudomonadota; Alphaproteobacteria; Rhodobacterales; Paracoccaceae.
GCCGGCAUAGCUCAGAUGGUAGAGCGCCCGCCUUGUAAGCGGGAUGCCGGGGGUUCGAUCCCUCCUGCCGGCACCA